Molecule: long non-coding RNA, 255 nt
Filed under: Astyanax mexicanus (Mexican tetra)
Lineage: Eukaryota; Metazoa; Chordata; Actinopteri; Characiformes; Acestrorhamphidae
Description: lncRNA (ENSAMXG00005001603.1)
Source: RNAcentral
GUAAAAAUUUAACAAUUCUAUGUUGAUACUGAAUCACUGCAGCAUACCCUUCUGUCUCCUCCUGUAGAUGAGUAUAAGAGUAAGGUGGUGUGUGAAGAGGAGCGUCUGAGGCUGAGCUGUAAGACCGGGAUGCAGAUUGCUGUGUAUUCAGCCAUGUUUGGACGCACACAGCAAGGAACACUGGAAUGUCCUCCACAUCACCGGAGGGCGCCGUCUGUGGAUGCAGUUUUCACCCCUACCUGACCUGCAACAGGA